This is a non-coding RNA of Macaca mulatta (Rhesus monkey), 1156 nucleotides long. NCBI's taxonomy places the organism in Eukaryota, Metazoa, Chordata, Mammalia, Primates, Cercopithecidae. The record is from RefSeq and is a predicted model, not a curated record.
UUGGAGUCACAUGAUAUGAUUAAUAUCUGCUGCAUAAUCAGGACUCACAACACCCUGAUUGCUCCUAUCUGAUUCUUCCUGACAAUCUCUUAAAGAACAAAACAUAUUUCCAAGGACACACAGCUAGCUAUGGUGGAGCUGGGAUUUGAAGGCAGUCCUGCCUUUAACCAUGACACUGUCCUAUGUCCACUUAGAAUCUUUCAAAAAAAAAAAGAACUGCUGCUAACAUGCUCCUAAGAGCACCCAAGGAGCUGCUAAGUGAGUCUUGCCCUCCCCCUACCGCCCUCUGUCUCCUCCCAUGCCAGAAGAUGGAAGACCACAGUGACUGAUCAGAUGGCAGCAGCACCCGCCUGUGACCCAGCAAUCAGAACCAAGUCCCACCACUGCUGCAGGCUCAGCCUGAGCAAAGCGGUCACCAUCCUAUGCCACAAGGAGAACUGCUUCCUGCCUACUUCCUCCUGCUUUAUCUUAAAUCCCCCGAAACUCUGCACCUGUAAAUGCAUCUCAAGACACAUCACCCUUCUGAUUGGGACUCUGAUGUGGUUAGUUACCAUACGCCCUCUGACUGCUUCUUUCUGGUUUUUUUGAUCCAGGUCUGUCUGUGUGGACCCUGUGUCCUGGCUGAACAGCAUUUGUGGGGUCCCUGUGCUUGCUCAGCAUCCCAAAGCCCCUCAUAUUCCUCUGAGCUCUGCUCUUCCUCUAUCCUGUCUGGUCAACCCCACCUCAUGGCUGCUACCCUCAGCAUUCUCUCCCAAGGAUGUCUUAUCUCAGCAUCAAGGGCGUCUGCAGAGCUGCUGGAGGAGGCUCUUUGGAUUACGCAAUCUAACUUCUGAAAGCCCAUUCAAAGGAUGAGAGCAACCGGUGCGUUGAAGCUCUCAAUUUAAACUAGGAAUCCCGUAGUCUAGUCUCUAGACUUAUCUGACCUAGGCAGAAAUCAUCUCCCAGAGGCUUUUCAUGGCUGAUUCUGUGAUAUUUUACUUGCAUUGAAGAUUAUUCCAUGUUUUGAGUUAGUGUGAGUCAUACAGUGCUAUUCUAUUUUCCAAAUAAAUGUUUGUCUUACAGAAGAAACUUUAUACCAUUUUAAUAGGGUUGUUUUACAAGGAAAUUUUACUCAGUUGGUUUUUGGAUUAAAAAUAAAAGAACAGCUUUUAAGAUA